RNAcentral lists this ribosomal RNA (639 nucleotides) under uncultured bacterium. RNAcentral describes it as "bacterial SSU rRNA". It matches the Rfam family "Bacterial small subunit ribosomal RNA", at positions 202 to 842 of the family's 1533-position model. The record is from RNAcentral.
CAAAGGCUUCGGCCGGUAAAGGAUGGGGAUGCGUCUGAUUAGCUUGCCGGCGGGGUAACGGCCCACCGGGGCGACGAUCAGUAGGGGUUCUGAGAGGAAGGUCCCCCACAUUGGAACUGAGACACGGUCCAAACUCCUACGGGAGGCAGCAGUGAGGAAUAUUGGUCAAUGGGCGCGAGCCUGAACCAGCCAAGUAGCGUGCAGGACGACGGCCCUAUGGGUUGUAAACUGCUUUUAUACGGGGAUAAAGUAUGCCACGUGUGGUUUAUUGCAGGUACCGUAUGAACAAGGACCGGCUAAUUCCGUGCCAGCAGCCGCGGUAAUACGGAAGGUCCGGGCGUUAUCCGGAUUUAUUGGGUUUAAAGGGAGCGUAGGCCGGGUUUUAAGCGUGCCGUGAAAUGUCGGGGCUCAACCUUGACACUGCGGCGCGAACUGGAGUCCUUGAGUGCGCGGAACGUAUGCGGAAUUCGUGGUGUAGCGGUGAAAUGCUUAGAUAUCACGAAGAACCCCGAUUGCGAAGGCAGCAUACGGCAGCGCUACUGACGCUGAAGCUCGAAGGCGCGGGUAUCGAACAGGAUUAGAUACCCUGGUAGUCCGCGCGGUAAACAAUGGAUGCCCGCUGUUGGCGAUAUAUUGUCA